This 298-nucleotide signal recognition particle RNA is filed under the name Cebus imitator (Panamanian white-faced capuchin). RNAcentral's name for it is "Metazoan signal recognition particle RNA (ENSCCAG00000007831.1)". It matches the Rfam family "Metazoan signal recognition particle RNA". Rfam says of the family: The signal recognition particle (SRP) is a universally conserved ribonucleoprotein. The record is from RNAcentral. Lineage: Eukaryota; Metazoa; Chordata; Mammalia; Primates; Cebidae.
ACCAGGCGCGGUGGUGAGUGCCUGUAGUCCCAACGACUCAGGAGGCUGAGGUGGGAGGAUCGCUUGAGCCCAGGAGUUCUGGGCUGUAGUGCGCUAUGCCGAUCGGGUGUCCGCACUAAGUUUGGCAUCAAUAUGGUGACCUCCCGGGAGCGGGGGACCACCAGGUUGCCUAAGGAGGGGUGAACUGGCCCAGGUCGGAAACGAAGCAGGUCAAAACUCCCCUGCGGAUCAGUAGUGGGAUUGCGCCUGUGACUAGCCACUGCACUCCAGCCUGGCAACAUACCGAGACCCUGUCUCU